UACGUAGGGUGCGAGCGUUAAUCGGAAUUACUGGGCGUAAAGCGUGCGCAGGCGGCUCGUUAAGUUCGAUGUGAAAGCCCCGGGCUCAACCUGGGAAUUGCAUUGGAAACUGGCGGGCUUGAGUGUGGCAGAGGGGGGUGGAAUUCCACGUGUAGCAGUGAAAUGCGUAGAGAUGUGGAGGAACACCGAUGGCGAAGGCGGGUCUCUGGGCAACAACUGACGCUGAGGAGCGAAAGCGUGGGGAGCGAACAGG
This 253-nucleotide ribosomal RNA is filed under the name uncultured bacterium. RNAcentral's name for it is "partial 16S ribosomal RNA". It matches the Rfam family "Bacterial small subunit ribosomal RNA", at positions 524 to 776 of the family's 1533-position model. The record is from RNAcentral.